AACUUUUAGCAACGGAUCACUUGGCUCUCGCAUCGCUGAAGAACGCAGCGAAAUGCGAUAAGUAGUGUGAAUUGCAGAAUUCAGUGAGUCAUCGAAUCUUUGAACGCACCUUGCUCCCUUUGGCCAUUCCGAAGGGCAUGCCUGUUUGAGUAUCAUGAACACCUCAGCUCUUCAUGGUUUUUCUGUGUUGAGCUUGGACUUUGGGGGUUUUGCUGGCCUAUGGUCGGCUCCUCUAAAAUGAAUCAGCUUGCCAGUGUUUGGUGGGCAUCACAGGUGUGAUAACUAUGUACGCUUGUGGUUUUCCACCAGGUAACCUUCAGCAAUGGAGGUUCGCUGGAGCUCACAGAUGUCUCUCCUCGGUGAGGACGACCCUUUGAAUGUUUGAUCUCAAAUCAGGUAGGACUACCCGCUGAACUUAAGCAUAUCAAUAAGCGGAGGCU
Molecule: unclassified non-coding RNA, 440 nt
Filed under: uncultured Thelephoraceae
Lineage: Eukaryota; Fungi; Basidiomycota; Agaricomycetes; Thelephorales; Thelephoraceae
Description: sequence contains ITS2
Rfam family: 5.8S ribosomal RNA (bases 1-155)
Source: RNAcentral